UACGUAGGGUGCAGGCGUUAAUCGGAAUUACUGGGCGUAAAAGCGUGCGCAGGCGGUUUGCUAAGAGAGAUGUGAAAAUCCCCCGGGCUUAACCUGGGAACUGCGUUUUCUAACUGGCAGGCUUGAGUGUGGCAGAGGGGGGGGUGGAAUUCCACGUGUAGCAGUGAAAAUGCGUAGAGAUGUGGAGGAACACCGAUGGCGAAGGGCGGCCCAAUGG
This 217-nucleotide ribosomal RNA is filed under the name uncultured bacterium. RNAcentral describes it as "partial 16S ribosomal RNA". It matches the Rfam family "Bacterial small subunit ribosomal RNA", at positions 524 to 732 of the family's 1533-position model. The record is from RNAcentral.